RNAcentral lists this ribosomal RNA (468 nucleotides) under uncultured bacterium. Its description in RNAcentral is "partial 16S ribosomal RNA". It matches the Rfam family "Bacterial small subunit ribosomal RNA", at positions 28 to 507 of the family's 1533-position model. The record is from RNAcentral.
GACGAACGCUGGCGGCGUGCUUAAUACAUGCAAGUCGAACGGAAAGGCCCUGCUCUUGUGGGGUGCUUGUGUGGCGAACGGGUGAGUAACACGUGUGUAACAUGUCCCUGACAUUGGGAUAACAUCAGGAAAAAGCGGAUAUUACCGGAUAGGAGCUUUUGCUGCAUGGUGUGGGAUAGUAAGAGUCGGUGGUGGGGUAUGUACUCGCGGGUUACCAGCUUGAUGAUGGGGUUGUUGCUUACCAAGGCUUUGAGGGGUAGCGGGCCUGGGAGGGUGAACGGCCAGACUGGGCUUGAGAUAGGGGCCAGACUCCUGCGGGAGCCAGCAGUGGCGAAUAUUUCACAGAGGAACGCAGCCUGAUGCAGCAACGCCGUGUGCUGGAUGACCGCCUUCGGUUUGUAAACCGAUUUCGCCUGUGACGUGGCGUGAGUGUCGGUGAUGGGUAAAAAAGCACCGGCUAGCUACGUG